UCGCGAAAACUUUGCAAUACACGAAAGUGUGACAGGGUCAUCCCGAGUGCCGACCGCUGAGGUUGGCUUUUACCCAGUCUAGAAAGCUGGGGGAAUAAGGAGAGGGCAAGUCUGGUGUCAGCCGCCGCGGUAAUACCAGCUCUCCGAGUGGUGUGGACGUUUAUUGGGCCUAAAGCAUCCGUAGCUGGCUGGGCAAGUCCUCUGUUAAACCCACCGAUUUAAUCGUUGGCGUGCGGGGGAUACUGCUCGGCUAGGGGACGAGAGAGGCAGACGGUAUUCCCGGGGUAGGGGUGAAAUCCUAUAAUCCCGAGAAGACCACCAGUGGCGAAGGCUGUCUGCUAGAACGCGCCCGACGGUGAGGGAUGAAAGCUGGGGGAGCGAACCGG
Molecule: ribosomal RNA, 386 nt
Filed under: uncultured bacterium
Lineage: Bacteria
Description: bacterial SSU rRNA
Rfam family: Archaeal small subunit ribosomal RNA
Source: RNAcentral